CAGUGAAUCAUCGAACCUUUGAACGCAAAUGGCGCUCCCGGGUUCCGCCCGGGAGCAUGUCUCUUCGAGUGG
This 72-nucleotide ribosomal RNA is filed under the name Isochrysis galbana. Its description in RNAcentral is "partial 5.8S ribosomal RNA". It matches the Rfam family "5.8S ribosomal RNA", at positions 82 to 151 of the family's 154-position model. From Rfam's summary of the family: 5.8S ribosomal RNA (5.8S rRNA) is a component of the large subunit of the eukaryotic ribosome. It is transcribed by RNA polymerase I as part of the 45S precursor that also contains 18S and 28S rRNA. Functionally, it is thought that 5.8S rRNA may be involved in ribosome translocation. The record is from RNAcentral. Lineage: Eukaryota; Haptophyta; Isochrysidales; Isochrysidaceae.